Molecule: long non-coding RNA, 763 nt
Organism: Tetranychus urticae (two-spotted spider mite)
Lineage: Eukaryota; Metazoa; Arthropoda; Arachnida; Trombidiformes; Tetranychidae
Source: RefSeq, a predicted model, not a curated record
CAUUAACAUAUGUUUAUUUAGCCGCUUCUUUUUUUACUGUUAAUUGAUUAUUGCUAUUUUAAUUGGUGUGUUUACGUUUUUAAUUCAAGUAAUCAUCAAUCAAUUGGAAUUGCAUAUGGUGGAAAUGUAUAAUCUUUAAUUACAAUGUUACAAAAAUGAAGUAUUUUUUUCACAAUUUGACAAAUUCAGUCCAACAAAUGAGCGAGCCAUACAAAGCGAUAUCAAAAAUAAAGCCUUGGUGUUGAUAAGGUAAUAAGGUAAUACUGAUGUUUCUCCUUGCAUUGAUAUUAUCUCACUUGAUAUUGGCUAUUUUGUAUUGAUCCUUGAGCAAACAUGGCAAAAAAAGAGGCAACAUCCAAUUCCUAUGGAGUUUACUGAUCACGACGACUUUUAUCUCAAAUGUGUUACACAAAAUUACUAACCCAACACACUCUUAAUUUAUCUAUAUCUUUAUAUUAUUAUUUUAUAUAAAAUUUUACAUUAGUACAUCAUAAGUUUCUGAAUUGAAUGACGAAACUUCAGUGUAAACACAUAACGCUCACUAUUAAUAGAUAAAAGUUGUCAAAAUUAGUUAACAAUCUAGUUUGUUAAUAACUCAUCAAUGACAUAACCUGGAAUAGUGAACCUUUUAAACUCUCAUAUUUUCAUUGUGACUCAAACAACUCAAUCAUGUGAAUUUGCACAUAACUUUUACUUGAUUGUGCUACUGUUUGUCUGUGCAGUUAAAUAAUAGACACUUUACAUAAAAUUUCAAAAUAAUCGA